GAUGAAGAACGUAGCGAAAUGCGAUAAGUAAUGUGAAUUGCAGAAUUCAGUGAAUCAUCGAAUCUUUGAACGCACAUUGCGCCCGCCAGUAUUCUGCGGGCAUGCCUGUUCGAGCGUCAUUUCAACCAUCAAGCCCCCGGCUUGUGUUGGGGACCUGCGGCUGCCGCAGGCCCUGAAAACCAGUGGCGGGCUCGCUAGUCACUCCGAGCGUAGUAAUACAUCUCGCUCAGGGCGUGCUGCGGGUUCCGGCCGUUAAAAAGCCUUAUUUACCCAAGGUUGACCUCGGAUCAGGUAGGAAGACCCGCUGAACUUAAGCAUAUCAAUAAGCGGAGGA
This 334-nucleotide unclassified non-coding RNA is filed under the name soil metagenome. RNAcentral's name for it is "partial contains 5.8S ribosomal RNA, internal transcribed spacer 2, and large subunit ribosomal RNA". The stretch from base 1 to 119 matches the Rfam family "5.8S ribosomal RNA", at positions 35 to 154 of the family's 154-position model. The record is from RNAcentral.